RNAcentral lists this long non-coding RNA (1123 nucleotides) under Piliocolobus tephrosceles (Ugandan red Colobus). RNAcentral's name for it is "lncRNA (ENSPTEG00000001331.1)". The record is from RNAcentral. Lineage: Eukaryota; Metazoa; Chordata; Mammalia; Primates; Cercopithecidae.
CAAAACAACACAGAAUCAUCCUUUAAUAAACAUGUAAAAUGGAAACCAAUUUAUCGAAAAACUUUUUAAAAAAUAAAAUUCGAAAUGUGAAAAACAUUUUGAUGAAAGAGAAUGAAAUGCCCAAAAUCGAGCAGGUUUUCAAAUACGAACUGAAUACCGAAUUUUCCGAAAUAAAUGAUACAUUAGAUUAUCUUAAUGGUAUUAUUUAUAAAAAUUUAAAUAAUUUUAAAAAAUUAAAUUUAUUAUAUUCUUAUGAUGAUAAUAAUGAUUAUGAUACUUCGAAUGUAAAACAAGACACUUUAUUGUUUUUAUUAAAACAAAAAAGUAAAUUUCGAGAGAAGUAUAAAAAUGAAAAUUAUAUUGAUUAUUUAAAAACAAACCCUUUAAUUUUUAUCGAUUGUCUGAAUGAAUUAUUAAUUAUUCCAGGGAUUGGGUUUGAGUUUAAGGUAUAUAAUAGUGAUGAUAAAACUAAUCAUUUUGCUAUAAAAAAAACAGAAAAUAAAAUUAAUAGUUUAUAUAAUCCAUGUUUUAUUGAAUCAAGACAAACAGCUUUUACAAAUGCAAAUGUGAUAAAAUCCACUCGUAAAAAUGAUAAAAGAGUUUAUAAACAGAAUAGUGAUAAUAAGAAUAAUGGAAAACAGAUUGACAAACAAAAUGAGCAACGUAAUAUCGAGCAUUAUUUUUCACGUAAAAAUGCAUCUUUAAAUGUAAAAAAAAAUAACACAAACAAUACUGUUUUGGAAGCAAACAGUAAAGUUGUUUCUACAAACAAAGUAGAUAUUACAAACGAUGGAACAGGUAUUGUUGUAAAGAAUGCAAGUAGUGGAAAUAAUAAUGGCGGAAGUGAUCGACGAAAUAGUAGUAAUAAUCAUGUUGACAAACCAUAUGACAUAGUACACAAAAGUAACAACAAUAAAAAUAUAGAAGAAGGUAGUAGGAAUGUUGCGCAUGUGUGCUCAAGUAAUACAGAAGUAAAAAAAGAAAGAAAAAGAAAAAGCAUUGAUAACAGUUUGGUAACAGGAUAUUGCAAAAAAAACAGAAAGAAUAAAAACAUUGAUGAGGCAACUGAUGAAAAUUGUAAUAGCUCUGUAAAUGACAGUAGUACGAAAAUAAAAUAUCCUAU